AAUAGAUACCCGGGUAGUCCACGCCGUAAACGAUGAGUGCUAAGUGUUAGGGGGUUUCCGCCCCUUAGUGCUGCAGCUAACGCAUUAAGCACUCCGCCUGGGGAGUACGGCCGCAAGGCUGAAACUCAAAGGAAUUGACGGGGGCCCGCACAAGCGGUGGAGCAUGUGGUUUAAUUCGAAGCAACGCGAAGAACCUUACCAGGUCUUGACAUCUCCUGACCGCCCUGGAGACAGGGUCUUCCCUUCGGGGACAGGAUGACAGGUGGUGCAUGGUUGUCGUCAGCUCGUGUCGUGAGAUGUUGGGUUAAGUCCCGCAACGAGCGCAACCCUUGUCCUUAGUUGCCAGCAUUCAGUUGGGCACUCUAAGGAGACUGCCGGCUAAAAGUCGGAGGAAGGUGGGGAUGACGUCAAAUCAUCAUGCCCCUUAUGACCUGGGCUACACACGUGCUACAAUGGGCGGUACAGAGGGUCGCGAACCCGCGAGGGGGAGCCAAUCCCAAAAAACCGCUCUCAGUUCGGAUUGCAGGCUGCAACUCG
RNAcentral lists this ribosomal RNA (537 nucleotides) under uncultured bacterium. RNAcentral describes it as "bacterial SSU rRNA". It matches the Rfam family "Bacterial small subunit ribosomal RNA", at positions 777 to 1314 of the family's 1533-position model. The record is from RNAcentral.